AUGCAUGCAAGUCGUACGCACGCGCUUCGGCGCGUGAGUGGCGCACGGCUGAGUAACACGUGGGAACCCGCCCUCCGGUGGGGGAUAACGCGACGAAAGUCGCGCUAAUCCCGCAUACGUCCGCAAGGGGAAAGCGCUUCGGCGCGCCGGAGGAGGGGCCUGCGGCCCAUCAGGUGGUUGGUGGGGUAACGGCCUACCAAGCCGAUGACGGGUAGCUGGUCUGGGAGGAUGACCAGCCAGACUGGGACUGAGACACGGCCCAGACUCCUACGGGAGGCAGCAGCAAGGAAUUUUCGGCAAUGGGCGCAAGCCUGACCGAGCAACGCCGCGUGCGGGAUGACGGCCUUCGGGUUGUAAACCGCUUUUCGGGGGGACGACUACGACGGUACCCCCGGAAGAAGCCCCGGCUAACUCUGUGCCAGCAGCCGCGGUAAGACAGAGGGGGCGAGCGUUGUCCGGAGUUACUGGGCGUAAAGCGCGCGCAGGCGGUGGUCUCAGUGUCGUGUGAAAGCCCCCGGCUCAACCGGGGGAGGUCAUGGCAAACUAGACGACUGGAGCGGCGGAGAGGCCCCUCGAAUUGCCGGUGUAGCGGUGAAAUGCGUAGAGAUCGGCAGGAAGACCAA
This 623-nucleotide ribosomal RNA is filed under the name uncultured bacterium. RNAcentral's name for it is "bacterial SSU rRNA". It matches the Rfam family "Bacterial small subunit ribosomal RNA", at positions 51 to 712 of the family's 1533-position model. The record is from RNAcentral.